Molecule: ribosomal RNA, 468 nt
Filed under: uncultured bacterium
Lineage: Bacteria
Description: partial 16S ribosomal RNA
Rfam family: Bacterial small subunit ribosomal RNA
Source: RNAcentral
GACGAACGCUGGCGGCGUGCUUAACACAUGCAAGUCGAACGGAAAGGCCCUGCUUUUGUGGGGUGCUCGAGUGGCGAACGGGUGAGUAACACGUGAGUAACCUGCCCUUGACUUUGGGAUAACUUCAGGAAACUGGGGCUAAUACCGGAUAGGAGCUCCUGCUGCAUGGUGGGGGUUGGAAAGUUUCGGCUGUUGGGGAUGGACUCGCGGCUUAUCAGCUUGUUGGUGGGGUAGUGGCUUACCAAGGCUUUGACGGGUAGCCGGCCUGAGAGGGUGACCGGCCACCUUGGGACUGAGAUACGGCCCAGACUCCUACGGGCGGCAGCAGUGGGGAAUAUUGCACAAUGGGCGGAAGCCUGAUGCAGAAACGCCGCGUGCGGGAUGACGGCCUUCGGGUUGUAAACCGAUUUCGCCUGUGACGAAGAGUGAGUGACGGUAAUGGGUAAAGAAGCACCGGCUAACUACGUG